Molecule: long non-coding RNA, 461 nt
Organism: Phasianus colchicus (ring-necked pheasant)
Lineage: Eukaryota; Metazoa; Chordata; Aves; Galliformes; Phasianidae
Source: RefSeq, a predicted model, not a curated record
CCCCGGAUGAAGGAACCGACCGAAACCUCCCUGUACCUCGCGGUCAGUCGCUGCGCUUCUGGCCGGGACAGCUCCGAAGCAGCGAACCUCGGCGAUCAAGCUGAAGAGAGGCUUGAUCAGAGGAGGUGUUGAGAGUGAAGCUUUCAAGGAUCCAGGAGGAGUGUGGCCUUAUGCUACUUGAACAAUGUCAAAUCCCCGAAGCCUGAGGAUUUUAAGAUGGUGAUGGACAGGAAUUCAACAACAUGCAAGGCAUGGUUCCCUAAGAGGUGAAAAUUAUAAUUGUAUGUUGGGUUUGCUGCCAAUAGAGCAAGAGAGUUUCUGAAAACAAGUUUUUAAAAUUAGUCUUCUGUUGUUGUUGUUGGAAAGCUAUGAAGAACCAUUCAUUAAAGGCAACAAAAGGUAAAAAUUUCCUAUGCUAAUUGAAAUCUUUCUCAAUUUCAUUUUUGGCUGAUUUUCAUCAU